Molecule: ribosomal RNA, 484 nt
Filed under: uncultured bacterium
Lineage: Bacteria
Description: partial 16S ribosomal RNA
Rfam family: Bacterial small subunit ribosomal RNA
Source: RNAcentral
AUUGAACGCUAGCGGCAGGCCUAACACAUGCAAGUCGAGCGGAUGAAGGGAGCUUGCUCCUGGAUUCAGCGGCGGACGGGUGAGUAAUGCCUAGGAAUCUGCCUGGUAGUGGGGGAUAACGUCCGGAAACGGGCGCUAAUACCGCAUACGUCCUGAGGGAGAAAGUGGGGGAUCUUCGGACCUCCCGCUAUCAGAUGAGCCUAGGUCGGAUUAGCUAGUUGGUGGGGUAAAGGCCUACCAAGGCGACGAUCCGUAACUGGUCUGAGAGGAUGAUCAGUCACACUGGAACUGAGACACGGUCCAGAAUCCUACGGGAGGCAGCAGUGGGGAAUAUUGGACAAUGGGCGAAAGCCUGAUCCAGCCAUGCCGCGUGUGUGAAGAAGGUAUUCGGAUUGUAAAGCACUUUAAGUUGGGAGGAAGGGCAGUAAGUUAAUACCUUGCUGUUUUGACGGUACCAACAGAAUAAGCACCGGCUAACUUCGUG